This is a long non-coding RNA of Cryptomeria japonica (Japanese cedar), 1460 nucleotides long. RefSeq lists it as uncharacterized. The record is from RefSeq and is a predicted model, not a curated record. The transcript is spliced from 3 exons. Lineage: Eukaryota; Viridiplantae; Streptophyta; Pinopsida; Cupressales; Cupressaceae.
UUCAAAGGAUUUUGAAUGAAUAAAACCUUAAGAAAAUUAUCAAAUGAUGCAAGCUUUUAAUGAUUUUGGUGCUCAUUAUGGAUUUGUUGUUUAAUCGUUGGGGCGAAUUUCUCUGUAGUAUCUUCUUUGACUUGGUCAAGGCAAAAAAUGGUGAUACUUUUUUGGGUGGUGAGGAUAUCCACAAUGCCUUGUUGCAAUAUUCAGUUAACGAGUUCAAGGUGUUGUCGACUCUCGCUUUACACUUGCACUUGCAUUUGCUUAAAAAUUUCCAUGACCUUUCAACUUAUCCAUUUUGUGGAUAUCCACAUUUAUGAUUUCAAAAACUUGUCCAUUUAGGGAAUUGUCAGCGAAUUUCUAAUUCUCUAAAUCAUUGUUAGCAAGUACUCUUGUAGUUGGUUUUGGUUUUCAGAACAUGAGAUAUUUUGCAUACGUGAUAUAAAGCCUUUAGAGGGAUAUGAUUUUUUGUUGUUUUCAUCUUGUAUUGUCAAAUUCAACUGGAUUUGUGAGCUUGGUUUCAAGCAAUUUAAUUGGGGCUCUUCUCACUUGAUUGAAUGUAGAGAUUUAAUUGAUAGGUUCCUCCUAUUUCCCUUCUUGUUUCACAAAAUUCAGUGCUGAAGUUUAUUUGGAUUUAGCUGAAGUUUAUUUGCAUUUAGCUGAAGUUGAGUGCUUUUUCUAUAGCUAUAAAUGGAUUUCAUUGCGGGUUGUGCACUCAUAGAUUAUGUUUUAGCUUGUUUUGAAUGCUAAUCUCCAAUCCCAAUGGGUGCAUGGAGAAGACGUAAAUGCUUAUAUGAACAUGGUGAGGCAAACAAAUUACCCCAGAGCAUUGGGGGAUAUUGGGAACCUUUUUAGUGCCCUCUCUACCAAAUGUACUAUUAGUGAAGGGGGAGUACUAGCAGCAGUAGGAAAGUAUGUGUUUCUCCAAUUUUGCUUCAUGCACCCAUUAAUUUUCUAAAAAAGUUCCACAUUUAUAUAAUAUAAUGUUUUCUUUAUUCUAUGCAUUUCAGGAAUAAUAUUGUAGCUGUUAAGAAUUCUUUUCAAGUGGAUCGUCCUGUAACUAGGACGAUGAUGAAUGUUGUGAAAUGGAAAUGGAGGUAGAGGGUCAAAUGCCUAAUAUUGAUGAGGCAGACAUGGACAAUCUAUUGGCUGUGACAAAUUAUGUCCGGGACAUUUAUAGAUUCUACCAUGAAAGAGAGGUGAGUUUUUGCUCUUCUUCUCUGCAUCACAUUCCCUAUAUAGCUUGUAUUAUAGGUAAACCAGGUCCAGCGCUUUGUUUUACUUUUUUAAGCCAUUUGAGUGAAGAAAGACAAGUACUUGAAACUCUUUCGACAGGCCAACUAAACCCUUUGUUUUAUUGGUAAAAAGUGUUAUUUUCUAAUAUUUUGGAUUGGUAUCUGGUUGCAAGUAAUUACCAAUAGUUUAAAACUCAUAACAGAUCAUUAGCUGCAUUCCUCCAUAAAAAA